UACGAAGGGGGCUAGCGUUGUUCGGAAUUACUGGGCGUAAAGGGCGCGUAGGCGGUCAGGUAAGUCAGAUGUGAAAUUCCGGGGCUCAACCCCGGAGCUGCAUUUGAAACUGCCUAGCUAGAGUUCAGUUAGGGUAAACGGAAUUCCACGUGUAGCGGUGAAAUGCGUAGAUAUGUGGAAGAACACCGGUGGUGAAGACGGUUUACUGGGCUGAGACUGACGCUGAGGCGCGAAAGCAUGGGGAGCAAACAGG
This 253-nucleotide ribosomal RNA is filed under the name uncultured bacterium. RNAcentral's name for it is "partial 16S ribosomal RNA". It matches the Rfam family "Bacterial small subunit ribosomal RNA", at positions 524 to 776 of the family's 1533-position model. The record is from RNAcentral.